This 73-nucleotide transfer RNA is filed under the name Cordylochernes scorpioides. RNAcentral describes it as "tRNA-Thr". It matches the Rfam family "tRNA". Rfam says of the family: Transfer RNA (tRNA) molecules are approximately 80 nucleotides in length. Their secondary structure includes four short double-helical elements and three loops (D, anti-codon, and T loops). Lineage: Eukaryota; Metazoa; Arthropoda; Arachnida; Pseudoscorpiones; Chernetidae. The record is from RNAcentral.
UCCAGGGUAGCCUAGUGGACAUGGCAUCUGCCCGGUAAGCGGAACACUGUGGGUUCAAUUCCCAUCCCCAGAU